CCUCCUUUUAUUUACAUGUUUUUGUUUGAUCGGCAACAAUUUAGAGUCGCUUGUUCACUUGAUUGGUGGUGAAUUGAGUGCUGUACGUUGCCUAUAUGAACUGGUGCUAAUAUUCUGGCAUUGCAGGAUUCAGUUUCUGUAAAUGCAUUCUGAGUUGCUUGUGAAUUUGUGAGUUUUAGCUUUACAAACGGUUUUUUUUAAGUGUCGAUUGAAGAAGAGUACGCUUAAAAUUAAUCUGAAUCUUAAAUGUAUUAGCUGGUUGACCAAAUUGGUAAAUGAUGUUU
Molecule: long non-coding RNA, 284 nt
Filed under: Helianthus annuus (common sunflower)
Lineage: Eukaryota; Viridiplantae; Streptophyta; Magnoliopsida; Asterales; Asteraceae
Description: hypothetical non coding rna
Source: RNAcentral